GCCAAAGAAGGUGAUAGCCCUGUAUAUUAAAGUAGAGUUUUUAAGGAAUGAGUAAAACGAGAAAUCUAUCUUGUUUGAAGAUAGGGGAACCACCCUCUAAGCCUAAGUAUUUCUCAAUGACCGAUAGUGAACCAGUACCGUGAGGGAAAGGUGAAAUGAAACCUAAUAAAUAAAAGGUGUGAAAAGACCUGAAACCCGAUGCUUACAAUCAGUCGACGCUCAUAGCUAGUUUCCUUGUAAAAAAGGUUAUUGCGUAUAGAGUAACGGCGUACCUUUUGCAUAAUGGGUCAGCGAGUCAAUGUGUAUAGCGAGCUUAAGCCGUUAGGUGGAGGCGUUUACAAAAGAAUGUAUAGAUUGUGAUAGAGUUAUAUAAGUUGUACCCGAAACCGAGUGAUCUAGCCAUGAGUAGGCUGAAGAAAUAGUAACAGAUUUUGGAGGGCCGAACCCGUGUAUGUGGCAAAUACUGGGAUAACUUGUGGCUAGGGGUGAAAGGCCAAUCAAACUCGGAGAUAGCUGGUUUUCCGCGAAAUCUAUUGAGGUAGAGCGUAUUCGUCUUACAUAAUAAUGAUGGGAGGUAGAGCACUCAAUGGGCUAGGGUGGCCCAAAGCCUGACCAACCUCAACGAAACUCCGAAUACCUGUCAAAAUGUGGCGAAUACAGACAGAAUUUGGGUGCUAAGAUCCAAACUCAAAAGGGAAACAGCCCAGAUCGUACGCUAAGGUCCUAAAGUAAUCACUAAGUGUGAAAGGAGGUAAUCUUGCAUUGACAACCAGCAGGUGGGCUUAGAAGCAGCCAUCCUUUAAAGAAAGCGUAACUGCUCACUGGUCUAGCUUGAUUGCGCCGAAAAUGUAACGGGGCUAAAGUGAUUCACCGAAGCGACGAAUCUUUAAUAUUAAAGAUUUAAUAUUAGAAGUUGGUAGCGGAACGUUCCGUAAGUCUGUGAAGGUUAUUUUAUAGAAUAACUCAAGAUAUCGGAAGUGAGAAUGCUGACAUGAGUAACGUAAAAUCAUGUGAAAAACAUGAUCGCCGAAAGUUCCCGGGUUUCUGCGAAAAGUAAAUCUGCGCAGAGUAAGCCGGCCCCUAAGAAAAACGGCGAAAGCCGUUCUCGAUGGGAAGAAACUAACCGAUGCUGUCUAAAAGUUAAUUCUAUAAAUGUAAUAGUUUAUAGAAAAGGCCUGCUUGAAAGAUGACGAAUAUGAUGUCUACUUAGUAUAAGUCUUUAAUUUAGUACUGGUAUCCAGCUAAUUUAAAGAGAUUGGAUUAAUACUUUUUGAUCUCAUUGCAUUCCUGGAAAUAAGUUCUAGUUUAAAAAAGAAGGGGGCUGCAUAAGCCCCCUUCUGGACCGUACCAUAAACCGACACAGGUGAACUAAUAGAGUAUACUAAGGCGUUUGAGGCAACCAUGUUGAAGGAACUCGGCAAAUUGACCCCGUAACUUCGGGAGAAGGGGUGUCGAGCCUAACAAAUAAAAUAAAAGGUUCGAUGGCACAAAAUAGGGAGUGGCGACUGUUUAAUAAAAACACAGGACUCUGCUAAAUCUACAGAUGAUGUAUAGGGUCUAACACCUGCCCGGUGCUGGAAGGUUAAUAGGAGAAGUAUUAGCUUCGAAUCUAAGCCCCAGUAAACGGCGGCAGUAACUCUAACUGUCCUAAGGUAGCGAAAUUCCUUGUCGCAUAAGUAGCGACCUGCACGAAUGG
This 1696-nucleotide ribosomal RNA is filed under the name Chlorokybus atmophyticus. Its description in RNAcentral is "LSU rRNA". It matches the Rfam family "Bacterial large subunit ribosomal RNA", at positions 354 to 1999 of the family's 2925-position model. Lineage: Eukaryota; Viridiplantae; Streptophyta; Chlorokybophyceae; Chlorokybales; Chlorokybaceae. The record is from RNAcentral.